GUACACUCCUGCGGGAGGCAGCAGUGGGGAAUUUUGGACAAUGGGCGAAAGCCUGAUCCAGCAAUGCCGCGUGCAGGAUGAAGGCCUUCGGGUUGUAAACUGCUUUUGUACGGAACGAAAAAGCUCCUUCUAAUACAGGGGGCCCAUGACGGUACCGUAAGAAUAAGCACCGGCUAACUACGUGCCAGCAGCCGCGGUAAUACGUAGGGUGCGAGCGUUAAUCGGAAUUACUGGGCGUAAAGCGUGCGCAGGCGGUUAUGUAAGACAGAUGUGAAAUCCCCGGGCUCAACCUGGGAACUGCAUUUGUGACUGCAUGGCUAGAGUACGGUAGAGGGGGAUGGAAUUCCGCGUGUAGCAGUGAAAUGCGUAGAUAUGCGGAGGAACACCGAUGGCGAAGGCAAUCCCCUGGACCUGUACUGACGCUCAUGCACGAAAGCGUGGGGAGCAAACAGGAUUAGAAACCCGAGUAGUCC
RNAcentral lists this ribosomal RNA (473 nucleotides) under uncultured organism. RNAcentral describes it as "partial 16S ribosomal RNA". It matches the Rfam family "Bacterial small subunit ribosomal RNA", at positions 331 to 796 of the family's 1533-position model. The record is from RNAcentral.